UACGUAGGGGGCAAGCGUUGUCCGGAUUUAUUGGGCGUAAAGAGCGUGUAGGCGGCCAGGUAGGUCCGCUGUGAAAACUCGAGGCUCAACCUCGAGAUGUCGGCGGAAACCAUCUGGCUAGAGUCCGGAAGAGGAGAGUGGAAUUCCUGGUGUAGCGGUGAAAUGCGCAGAUAUCAGGAAGAACACCAAUGGCGAAGGCAGCACUCUGGGACGUGACUGACGCUGAGACGCGAAAGCGUGGGGAGCAAACAGG
This 253-nucleotide ribosomal RNA is filed under the name uncultured bacterium. RNAcentral's name for it is "partial 16S ribosomal RNA". It matches the Rfam family "Bacterial small subunit ribosomal RNA", at positions 524 to 776 of the family's 1533-position model. The record is from RNAcentral.